This 253-nucleotide ribosomal RNA is filed under the name uncultured bacterium. RNAcentral's name for it is "partial 16S ribosomal RNA". It matches the Rfam family "Bacterial small subunit ribosomal RNA", at positions 524 to 776 of the family's 1533-position model. The record is from RNAcentral.
GACGAACCGUACGAACGUUAUUCGGAAUCACUGGGCUUAAAGGGUGCGUAGGCUGCGCGGAAAGUUGGGUGUGAAAUCCCUCGGCUCAACCGAGGAACUGCGCCCAAAACUGCCGUGCUCGAGGGAGACAGAGGUGAGCGGAACUUAGGGUGGAGCGGUGAAAUGCGUUGAUAUCCUAAGGAGCACCGGUGGCGAAAGCGGCUCACUGGGUCUCUUCUGACGCUGAGGCACGAAAGCUAGGGUAGCGAACGGG